CCGUGUGCGUAAGUGCCUGCAUGUAUAUGCGUGUAUAUUUUAUGCAUAUACAUACACACACCAACACACACAU
RNAcentral lists this microRNA precursor (73 nucleotides) under Mus musculus (house mouse). Its description in RNAcentral is "microRNA mmu-mir-467b precursor". Its record names the gene mmu-mir-467b. Lineage: Eukaryota; Metazoa; Chordata; Mammalia; Rodentia; Muridae. The record is from miRBase by way of RNAcentral.